GGAUAACCGCUGAAGGCAUCUAAGUGGGAAGCCCGCCUCAAGAUGAACCAUCCCUGAGGGAAUAACCCUCCUGAAGGCACCAGGGAGACUACCUGGUUGAUAGGGUGGCGGUCUACGUAGCGUAAGGUACUCAGCCGACCACUACUAAUUUGCCGUGAGGCUUGACCAU
RNAcentral lists this ribosomal RNA (169 nucleotides) under Treponema sp. RNAcentral's name for it is "partial 23S ribosomal RNA". It matches the Rfam family "Bacterial large subunit ribosomal RNA", at positions 2762 to 2925 of the family's 2925-position model. The record is from RNAcentral. Lineage: Bacteria; Pseudomonadati; Spirochaetota; Spirochaetia; Treponematales; Treponemataceae.